RNAcentral lists this ribosomal RNA (403 nucleotides) under uncultured bacterium. RNAcentral describes it as "partial 16S ribosomal RNA". It matches the Rfam family "Bacterial small subunit ribosomal RNA", at positions 30 to 526 of the family's 1533-position model. The record is from RNAcentral.
AUUGAACGCUGUCGGCAGGCCUAACACAUGCAAGUCGAGCGAGCGGCGGACGGGUGAGUAAUGUAUGGGGACUGCCCGAUAGAGGGGGAUAACUACUGGAAACGGUAGCUAAUACCGCAUACUAUCGGCUACCCCAUAUGGGAUUAGCUAGUAGGUUAGUUAAUGUCUCACCUAGGCGACGAUGCCUAGCUGGUCUGAGAGGAUGAUCAGCCACACUGUGACUGAGACACGGCCCAGACGCCUACGGAGGCAGCAGUGGGGAAUAUUGCACAAUGGGCGCAAGCCUGAUGCAGCCAUGCCGCGUGGAUGAAGAAGGUCCUAGGAUUGUAAAGUUCUGUCAGUAGGGAGGCGUUACCUACAGAAGAAGCACCGGCUAACUCCGUGCCAGCAGCCGCGGUAAUUC